UUCAAAAGGAUUUGUGGUUCUGGCAAUUGU
RNAcentral lists this non-coding RNA (30 nucleotides) under Mus musculus (house mouse). The record is from RNAcentral. Lineage: Eukaryota; Metazoa; Chordata; Mammalia; Rodentia; Muridae.